This 378-nucleotide unclassified non-coding RNA is filed under the name plant metagenome. RNAcentral's name for it is "partial contains 5.8S ribosomal RNA, internal transcribed spacer 2, and large subunit ribosomal RNA". The stretch from base 1 to 105 matches the Rfam family "5.8S ribosomal RNA", at positions 50 to 154 of the family's 154-position model. The record is from RNAcentral.
GAAAUGCGAUAAGUAAUGUGAAUUGCAGAAUUCAGUGAAUCAUCGAAUCUUUGAACGCACCUUGCGCUCCUUGGUAUUCCUUGGAGCAUGCCUGUUUGAGUAUCAUGAAAUCUUCAAAGUAAAUCUUUUGUUAACUCAAUUGGUUUCUACUUUGGUAUUGGAGGUCUUUGCAGCUUCACACCUGCUCCUCUUUGUUCAUUAGCUGGAUCUCAGUGUUAUGCUUGGUUCCACUCGGCGUGAUAAGUUAUCUAUCGCUGAGGACACUGUAAAAGGUGGCCAAGGUAAAUGCAGAUGAACCGCUUCUAAUAGUCCAUUGACUUUGACAAUACUUUUAUGAUCUGAUCUCAAAUCAGGUAGUACUACCCGCUGAACUUAAGC